Molecule: ribosomal RNA, 436 nt
Filed under: uncultured bacterium
Lineage: Bacteria
Description: partial 16S ribosomal RNA
Rfam family: Bacterial small subunit ribosomal RNA
Source: RNAcentral
GCGAACGCUGGCGGCAGGCUUAACCCAUGCAAGUCGAGCGGGCAUCCUUGUGGUGUCAGCGGCAGACGGGUGAGUAACGCGUGGGAACGUGCCCUUCGGUUCGGAAUAACUCAGGGAAACUUGAGCUAAUACCGGAUACGUGCGAGAGCAGAAAGGUUUAUCUGCCGAAGGAUCGGCCCGCGUCUGAUUAGCUAGUUGGUGAGGUUAUGGCUCACCAAGGCGACGAUCAGUAGCUGGGCUGAGAGGAUGAUCAGCCACACUGGGACUGAGACACGGCCCAGACUCCUACGGGAGGCAGCAGUGGGGAAUAUUGGACAAUGGGGGCAACCCUGAUCCAGCCAUGCCGCGUGAGUGAUGACGGCCUUAGGGUUGUAAAGCUCUUUUCUCCGGGACGAUAAUGACGGUACCGGAGGAAUAAGCCCCGGCUAACUUCGUG